Molecule: long non-coding RNA, 704 nt
Filed under: Chlamydomonas reinhardtii
Lineage: Eukaryota; Viridiplantae; Chlorophyta; Chlorophyceae; Chlamydomonadales; Chlamydomonadaceae
Description: long non-coding RNA (CREI_LNC000896)
Source: RNAcentral
CACAUCCCGUGCGGCGGAAUAUUUUGCUGUGCCGCAGCCGAAACGUGGGCUGGGGGCAACAGCAACCUCACCCCGCACGCUGUAACAGGGGCACAUCCCGUGCGGCGGAAUAUUUUGCUGUGCCGCAGCCGAAACGUGGGCUGGGGGCAACAGCAACCUUACCCCGCACGCUGUAACAGGACAAGCUUGUUUGCACCAGAUGCCCAGUACCAGCCAUGUGUACCAAGCUGUGUGUUUGUGUGGAGUUUCUGUUUUGAGAUGGAUGCACGGCACGAAUGGGAGAUUGAUAGAUUGCUGACACGGCCUGCCACCCCGCCUGGCUUGACACGAAGCGUGCAUAGGUCGGGGGCGAGCCCCCGGAAAAUUUUUGGGAUGAAAGAUGUGGCGGCAGUUUCUCAAAAGAUGGUCUAUUUCGGAAGUCUGUCACUGGCGCCGCACCUGCCUUCUUAAGAUACGAGCGCUGAAGCAGAGCACGUGGUAGGCAGCAGGAGCGUGACGUGUGUGUGCGCUGCGCCUGCUGGCUGCGCUUAGUAACUGGACACGACACGACUGGAGAUCUGGCUGGCGGGGCCUUGCGCAACCCCGCAGGUUUGCAUCUUCCAGGGGUAGGCCGGCGCCGCUGGCGCUGGAAGGGCCCUCAGCACGUUCUCGCUCACGGCAUCCAGGGGCCCAAAAUGCCUAGUUUUUAGCGUUUGGAACCCAAA